AGCGAACGCCGGCGGCGUGCUUAACACAUGCAAGUCGAGCGAAGGUGUUUCAAGGGUAACCUUGAGAUACACUUAGCGGCGGACGGGUGAGUAAUACGUGGAUAACUUACCUCUAGGCCUGGGAUAACCCCGGGAAACUGGGGCUAAUACCUGAUAAGACCACAUUGUCUACGGACAAAGGGGUAAAAGGUGGCUGUGCAAACAGCUAUCGCCAAAAGAUAGGUUCACGUCCCAUCAGGCAGUUGGGAGGUAAUGGCUCACCAAACCAAAGACGGGUAGCCGGCCUUGGCGGGUGAACGGCCACACGGGGACUGAGACACGGCCCCGACUCCUACGGGAGGCAGCAGUGGGGAAUAUUGGGCAAUGGGCGCAAGCCUGACCCAGCGACGUCGCGUUGGGG
Molecule: ribosomal RNA, 400 nt
Filed under: uncultured bacterium
Lineage: Bacteria
Description: bacterial SSU rRNA
Rfam family: Bacterial small subunit ribosomal RNA
Source: RNAcentral